Neurospora crassa OR74A is the source of this 744-nucleotide non-coding RNA. The record is from RefSeq and is a predicted model, not a curated record. NCBI's taxonomy places the organism in Eukaryota, Fungi, Ascomycota, Sordariomycetes, Sordariales, Sordariaceae.
AUGACUUCGGCCGGGACCAUUCAGGCUCAAAUCUCGGUAAUCUACACAGUACAGGCAAUCUUCCCAAGCCCUUGGGCCUUCUGGACAGAAGCGGUAGACGGCGACAACUUGUUCGUCGUAGGAUGAGCAGGAGCCCGUUGCGUGAGCGUCGAGUGUGCUUCUCUUUGGGCUUGACCGCAGAAUCAAGAGUAGCCUUGACCUACAGCUCUGCAGCUCUCUGCUACCACACAGUAAUUCCUAGCUGCUCCACCAUAGCUUCACCUCUGCAGGCCUCGUCAGGCUCAUUGUCCAGACUGUGAAGCUGCUGGGGCCCCAGGGCUUGUCUCGACAUCCCCAUGUUACCGGAAUACUCCCGUCUGCCGCUGAGGUGUCCGUGCCCAAUCCCAGCUCAGUCUGGACCAAUGCUCGGCCAGACAGCCAGACGCACAAUCACCGUAAUAAACACAGUGCGCCCGCUCACAGCUCGCUGAGGAUCGGACGAACUUGGGUGGGUGCUCAUCUGAAAUUCCCCAUUUCCAGUCGCUCGGACGAGGACGGGAACCCGGGCCUGUGGAACUGGAGCGACACAGUCGUCGUAAACAUCGGAGCCAUGAUGCCAACCACGACGAGAAAAGAACGCACGCAUUGGAUGGGAGCCGAGCCUCUCAACGGGCUCUAUGGCCUCCGUGACUUCUCGUUGCUCAAGCUUGGUCCUCACUCCGAGACACCCAGAGCAAGGACACAGCGAACCAGGCCCUCAGCACC